CCGAGUUUACAACUCCCAAACCCCUGUGAACAUACCUAUGCGUUGCCUCGGCGGAUCAGCCCGCGCCCCGUAAAAAGGGACGGCCCGCCCGAGGACCCCUAAACUCUGUUUUUAGUGGAACUUCUGAGUAAAACAAACAAAUAAAUCA
RNAcentral lists this unclassified non-coding RNA (148 nucleotides) under soil metagenome. RNAcentral's name for it is "partial internal transcribed spacer 1". The record is from RNAcentral.